Small nuclear RNA from Prolemur simus (greater bamboo lemur), 130 nucleotides. The record is from Ensembl. NCBI's taxonomy places the organism in Eukaryota, Metazoa, Chordata, Mammalia, Primates, Lemuridae.
UAAACCCUUUUCUUAGGGUUGCGCUACUGUCCAAUGACUGCCUAGUGAGGCCGGUACUGCAAACGCCUACACAACACACCCACAUCAACUACAGCUUUGCUUUCUUUACCUUGGUGCAAUUUUUGGAAAA